UUUUAUGGAGAGUUUGAUCCUGGCUCAGAGUGAACGCUGGCGGCGUGCCUAAUACAUGCAAGUCGAACGAUGAAGCUUCUAGCUUGCUAGAGUGCUGAUUAGUGGCGCACGGGUGAGUAACGCAUAGGUUAUGUGCCUCUUAGUUUGGGAUAGCCAUUGGAAACGAUGAUUAAUACCAGAUACUCCCUAUGGGGGAAAGAUUUAUCGCUAAGAGAUCAGCCUAUGUCCUAUCAGCUUGUUGGUAAGGUAAUGGCUUACCAAGGCUAUGACGGGUAUCCGGCCUGAGAGGGUGAACGGACACACUGGAACUGAGACACGGUCCAGACUCCUACGGGAGGCAGCAGUAGGGAAUAUUGCUCAAUGGGGGAAACCCUGAAGCAGCAACGCCGCGUGGAGGAUGAAGGUUUUAGGAUUGUAAACUCCUUUUGUUAGAGAAGAU
Molecule: ribosomal RNA, 439 nt
Filed under: Helicobacter pylori
Lineage: Bacteria; Pseudomonadati; Campylobacterota; Epsilonproteobacteria; Campylobacterales; Helicobacteraceae
Description: bacterial SSU rRNA
Rfam family: Bacterial small subunit ribosomal RNA
Source: RNAcentral